Molecule: ribosomal RNA, 484 nt
Filed under: uncultured bacterium
Lineage: Bacteria
Description: partial 16S ribosomal RNA
Rfam family: Bacterial small subunit ribosomal RNA
Source: RNAcentral
AUUGAACGCUGGCGGCAUGCUUUACACAUGCAAGUCGAACGGCAGCGCGGGCUUCGGCCUGGCGGCGAGUGGCGAACGGGUGAGUAAUACAUCGGAACGUGCCCAGUAGUGGGGGAUAGCUCGGCGAAAGCCGGAUUAAUACCGCAUACGACCUGAGGGUGAAAGCGGGGGAUCUCCGGCCCUCGCCCUAUUGGAGCGGCCGAUGGCAGAUUAGCUAGUUGGUGGGGUAAAGGCCUACCAAGGCGACGAUCUGUAGCUGGUCUGAGAGGACGACCAGCCACACUGGGACUGAGACACGGCCCAGACUCCUACGGGAGGCAGCAGUGGGGAAUUUUGGACAAUGGGCGAAAGCCUGAUCCAGCAAUGCCGCGUGUGUGAUGAAGGCCUUCGGGUUGUAAAGCACUUUUGGCGGGAACGAAAAGGACUGUGCCAAUACCACGGUUCGAUGACGGUACCCGCAGAAUAAGCACCGGCUAACUACGUG